This 236-nucleotide ribosomal RNA is filed under the name uncultured bacterium. RNAcentral describes it as "partial 16S ribosomal RNA". It matches the Rfam family "Bacterial small subunit ribosomal RNA", at positions 30 to 263 of the family's 1533-position model. The record is from RNAcentral.
AUUGAACGCUGGCGGCAGGCCUAACACAUGCAAGUCGAACGGUAGCACAGAGAGCUUGCUCUCGGGUGACGAGUGGCGGACGGGUGAGUAAUGUCUGGGAAACUGCCCGAUGGAGGGGAUAACUACUGGAAACGGUAGCUAAUACCGCAUAACGUCGCAAGACCAAAGAGGGGGGACCUUCGGGCCGUCUUCGCCACUCGGAUGUCGCCCAGAGUGGGUAGUUAGUCUUGUUAGGG